AUCCAGCUGACGAGUCCCAAAUAGAACGAAGGGGCGGGUGUCCUUGAU
Molecule: non-coding RNA, 48 nt
Filed under: Schistosoma mansoni
Lineage: Eukaryota; Metazoa; Platyhelminthes; Trematoda; Strigeidida; Schistosomatidae
Source: RNAcentral